AUGGCCCGACGCCGGAGCAGCGGCGGCAUCUCGUCCGCGCUGAGCCUGGGGCUCGCCGUGAUGGCCGUCACAUGGGCGACGUCCACGGCGCAGCAGCAGCAGCAGCAGCAACCGCCGGCCGUGCCAAGCGUGAGCGUGCCGAGCUGCCCGCCGGUGCAGGCCUCGCUGUCGCCGUGCGUGAGCUACUUCAUCGGCAACUCCUCGUCGCCGUCCGACACGUGCUGCGUCCAGAUGCGGGCCCUGUUCCAGUCGCAGGCGCCCUGCCUCUGCGCCGCCGUGUCCGCCGUGCCGUCCCAGCUCGGGUCCGUGGUCGGCGGCCUGCUCCCCACCGCCUGCAACCUGCCCCCCAACGCCUGCUCCGCUGUGACAGGGACCUCGGGCUCUGCUCCGGCCGGUGGCGCAGCGGCGCCGUCGUCGUCAGGGACACCUACUGAUGCUGCUGCCGCCGCGCCGGUGACCGGUCCGGCUGAUGCGAACCCGGCUGGUACGCCUUCCGGUGGUGGGGUGAAGUCGGUUCCGGGGACGGUUGAUUCGGCUGCCGUUGAGUGCAAGGGUACCUCCGCUGCCGUCGUCGUCCUGGCCAUGGCUGCCUCGUUCCUAGUAGCUGCUUCUGUUUUCUGA
This 621-nucleotide ribosomal RNA is filed under the name Triticum aestivum (bread wheat). Its description in RNAcentral is "partial small subunit ribosomal RNA". The record is from RNAcentral. Lineage: Eukaryota; Viridiplantae; Streptophyta; Magnoliopsida; Poales; Poaceae.